Acanthopagrus latus (yellowfin seabream) is the source of this 1813-nucleotide long non-coding RNA. RefSeq lists it as uncharacterized. The transcript has 3 exons. The record is from RefSeq and is a predicted model, not a curated record. Lineage: Eukaryota; Metazoa; Chordata; Actinopteri; Spariformes; Sparidae.
UGUACGUCGGUGUUUGCCCCUCUCAGCCAUACUGUGCACUCGGGGACAGCCAGACACAUCAGUAAACAUGUGUCUCCACAGCGCUGCAGCAGCAGGGGUUCUGUACACAGUGUGUAUCACCUGGCUGUUGUAUCUGAUGCUGAAGAGGACACAAUGCCAGGCCCCUUCCCUCUUUGUGUUCUGGAUCCAACACUUCAUCACAAAGAGCAAAUCUGGUUACCAUUACAGCUCGGGACACAGCUGCAGUUAAUCUCAUUUUGGUUGAGUUCUAAUAAAAGUGUAAGUAUUAGGACCAGUGGUUGAACACCUGGUCCGUUUUGGCAAGGAGGGUUGUGGAGCUGCGGUCAUCAACAUUGGCCCAAAUCACACUGAGCUCUGAGUCAACCCAGAUUCAUAAAAAAACAAAACAAAAAAAAAACAUUUACGUAACUCAGAGUUGAACUGGACUGAUGCUAAAGAGGCCAGGACUGACCUCGUUCACACUGACAGGAGUGUACAACCUGUCUUAUACACAUCGUUUUCAAAAUGUUGUAUUUGUUAAACAAUGCCACUCAAAUGAGGGCUGGUAAAUUGUUUCUAUUUUUUCAGUCUUACUUUGUCGACAGUGAUAUGUUGGGGUUCCUUUCUUGUGACAAAUGUAAUUAUUGUGAGUUGCUUUGGACAAAAGUGUCUGCUAAAUGCCCCACGUGUAAAUUGUAAAUGAGCGGUGAAGGAUAACUUUACAGAUUUAACACAUGACAUUUUGUUUAACGGUCUUGGGGAGUUUAACUGCACAUGUGAAAAAGGUAGUAUGAAGCCUUUUCUGGCUCCAGAGGAGGCUGCAUGUAAUCUAAUAAAUUGCCUCCAGUGAUGUCACUCAGUUGCUAAAUUGCAUUGUGGGGAAUGUAGGCACCAGGUUUUCAAAGAAUGAUCUGUUAUACUACUGGAAUCAGAGAUUUCAAAAUCUGAUACCUGCACUACCCACAAUCCAAUUUAGCCACUGACUGACAUCACUGAAGGAUAUCUGUCACAUUGCAUCAUUGCAGCUUCCUCUGGAGCAAUUAAAGGCUUAAUACUACUUUUUUCACAUAUGCAGUAGAACUCCACAAGACCUGUAAACACACUUCAAUGUGUGAAAUGAGUAGAGCUGUCCUUUAAUCCUGUUCCUGGGGAUACAACCUACAAAUAUAUCCAAGCAUAUAAUGUAUUAUGUAUUUGCCUGUAAUGCGUGUGCGAUCUACAGUGUCAGAUUUCACUUCCUUUUUUACACCUUCAAGAUGAACUCUUGACCUCACCUUGUGCAGGAUAUCAGGUCUGUCUUGACAUACAGCCCAAAGAUUUUACAGCCAUUGUUCCUAAAGAUGCUGAUAGAAAAUCUUGCCCACCCAUCAGUCACCAAACUGCUCAUACAUUCAGCAUCUGGUUAACUCUUCUUAAAGACAUCUCUCCGGUGCUCGCAAACACUCCCACACGUUUCCAAAAGCUGGUCCCUCCGCAUCAGAUAUGCUCUCGACAAUUUAGCGGAAAGCAAAAGGAGGUCCUGUUAGCGGCUCCUGGCUGGCCUUCAGCUGCUCACCGCUGCUGGAUCAGACACCAUUAGUAUGAAACACCGGCUCACACAGACAACCGGCUUAAUUAGAAGUUGAGGAUUUGGUACGUGCAGCCUCAUAGCCACAGCGUUCAGGCUCCUGUUUUACAUCUGCGAACCCACUGUCUGUCUCAAGCAGCCGUGCCACCAAUCACUGCCAGGACUCAUCACCACAGCAACAAAACGGUGGAGGAAAUGCUGGAGAUUGUUUUGUCGAUAAUAACAAUAAAACUAAUAACAUCAUCA